RNAcentral lists this ribosomal RNA (1345 nucleotides) under metagenome. RNAcentral's name for it is "bacterial SSU rRNA". It matches the Rfam family "Bacterial small subunit ribosomal RNA", at positions 157 to 1498 of the family's 1533-position model. The record is from RNAcentral.
CGGUAGCUAAUACCGCAUAACGUCGCAAGACCAAAGAGGGGGACCUUCGGGCCUCUUGCCAUCGGAUGUGCCCAGAUGGGAUUAGCUAGUAGGUGGGGUAACGGCUCACCUAGGCGACGAUCCCUAGCUGGUCUGAGAGGAUGACCAGCCACACUGGAACUGAGACACGGUCCAGACUCCUACGGGAGGCAGCAGUGGGGAAUAUUGCACAAUGGGCGCAAGCCUGAUGCAGCCAUGCCGCGUGUAUGAAGAAGGCCUUCGGGUUGUAAAGUACUUUCAGCGGGGAGGAAGGGAGUAAAGUUAAUACCUUUGCUCAUUGACGUUACCCGCAGAAGAAGCACCGGCUAACUCCGUGCCAGCAGCCGCGGUAAUACGGAGGGUGCAAGCGUUAAUCGGAGUUACUGGGCGUAAAGCGCACGCAGGCGGUUUGUUAAGUCAGAUGUGAAAUCCCCGGGCUCAACCUGGGAACUGCAUCUGAUACUGGCAAGCUUGAGUCUCGUAGAGGGGGGUAGAAUUCCAGGUGUAGCGGUGAAAUGCGUAGAGAUCUGGAGGAAUACCGGUGGCGAAGGCGGCCCCCUGGACGAAGACUGACGCUCAGGUGCGAAAGCGUGGGGAGCAAACAGGAUUAGAUACCCUGGUAGUCCACGCCGUAAACGAUGUCGACUUGGAGGUUGUGCCCUUGAGGCGUGGCUUCCGGAGCUAACGCGUUAAGUCGACCGCCUGGGGAGUACGGCCGCAAGGUUAAAACUCAAAUGAAUUGACGGGGGCCCGCACAAGCGGUGGAGCAUGUGGUUUAAUUCGAUGCAAUGCGAAGAACCUUACCUGGUCUUGACAUCCACGGAAGUUUUCAGAGAUGAGAAUGUGCCUUCGGGAACCGUGAGACAGGUGCUGCAUGGCUGUCGUCAGCUCGUGUUGUGAAAUGUUGGGUUAAGUCCCGCAACGAGCGCAACCCUUAUCCUUUGUUGCCAGCGGUCCGGCCGGGAACUCAAAGGAGACUGCCAGUGAUAAACUGGAGGAAGGUGGGGAUGACGUCAAGUCAUCAUGCCCCUUACGACCAGGGCUACACACGUGCUACAAUGGCGCAUACAAAGAGAAGCGACCUCGCGAGAGCAAGCGGACCUCAUAAAGUGCGUCGUAGUCCGGAUUGGAGUCUGCAACUCGACUCCAUGAAGUCGGAAUCGCUAGUAAUCGUGGAUCAGAAUGCCACGGUGAAUACGUUCCCGGGCCUUGUACACACCGCCCGUCACACCAUGGGAGUGGGUUGCAAAAGAAGUAGGUAGCUUAACCUUCGGGAGGGCGCUUACCACUUUGUGAUUCAUGACUGGGGUGAAGUCGAAACAAGGUA